Molecule: ribosomal RNA, 254 nt
Filed under: uncultured bacterium
Lineage: Bacteria
Description: partial 16S ribosomal RNA
Rfam family: Bacterial small subunit ribosomal RNA
Source: RNAcentral
UACGUAGGGUGCGAGCGUUGUCCGGAAUUAUUGGGCGUAAAGAGCUCGUAGGCGGUCUGUCGCGUCGGUCGUGAAAACUUGGGGCUUAACCCUGAGCUUGCGGUCGAUACGGGCAUGACUGGAGUUCGGCAGGGGAGACUGGAAUUCCUGGUGUAGCGGUGAAAUGCGCAGAUAUCAGGAGGAACACCAACGGCGAAGGCAGCACUCUGGGCCGGAACUGACGCUGAGGAGCGAAAGCGUGGGUAGCGAACAGG